CUGUUUGAUCCUGGCUCAGAUUGAACGCUGGGGGAUGGCCUUGGACAUGCCAGUGGAACGGUUACAGGAAACAGCUUGCUGUUUCGCUGAAAAGUGGCGGACGGGUGAGUAAUGUCUGGGAAACUGCCUGAUGGAGGGGGAUAACUACUGGAAACGGUAGCUAAUACCGCAUAACGUCGCAAGACCAAAGAGGGGGACCUUCGGGCCUCUUGCCAUCAGAUGUGCCCAGAUGGGAUUAGCUAGUAGGUGGGGUAACGGCUCACCUAGGCGACGAUCCCUAGCUGGUCUGAGAGGAUGACCAGCCACACUGGAACUGAGACACGGUCCAGACUCCUACGGGAGGCAGCAGUGGGGAAUAUUGCACAAUGGGCGCAAGCCUGAUGCAGCCAUGCCGCGUGUAUGAAGAAGGCCUUCGGGUUGUAAAGUACUUUCAGCGGGGAGGAAGGGAGUAAAGUUAAUACCUUUGCUCAUUGACGUUACCCGCAGAAGAAGCACCGGCUAACUCCGUGCCAGCAGCCGCGGUAAUACGGAGGGUGCAAGCGUUUAUCGGAAUUACUGGGCGUAAAGCGCACGCAGGCGGUUUGUUAAGUCAGAUGUGAAAUCCCCGGGCUCAACCUGGGAACUGCAUCUGAUACUGGCAAGCUUGAGUCUCGUAGAGGGGGGUAGAAUUCCAGUGUAGCGGUGAAAUGCGUAGAGAUCUGGAGGAAUACCGGUGGCGAAGCGGCCCCUGGACGAAGACUGACGCUCAGUGCGAAGCGUGGGGAGCAAACAGGAUUAGAUUACCCUGGUAGUCACGCCGUAACGAUGUCGACUUGGAGUUGUGCCCUUGAGGCGUGGCUCCGAGGCUAACGCGUUAGUCGACC
Molecule: ribosomal RNA, 863 nt
Filed under: uncultured bacterium
Lineage: Bacteria
Description: bacterial SSU rRNA
Rfam family: Bacterial small subunit ribosomal RNA
Source: RNAcentral